CCUACGGGAGGCAGCAGUGAGGAAUAUUGGUCAAUGGGCGAGAGCCUGAACCAGCCAAGUCGCGUGAGGGAGUACUGCCCUAUGGGUUGUAAACCUCUUUUGUCGGGGAGCAAAAGCCGGACGUGUCCGGCUGUGAGAGUACCCGAAGAAAAAGCAUCGGCUAACUCCGUGCCAGCAGCCGCGGUAAUACGGAGGAUGCGAGCGUUAUCCGGUUUUAUUGGGUUAAAAGGGUGCGCAGGCGGAUUUUUAAGUCAGCGGUAAAAUCGUGGGGCUCAACCCCAUCCAGCCGUUGAAACUGGGGAUCUAGAGUGUGCGAGAGGUAUGCGGAAUGCGUGGUGUAGCGGUGAAAUGCAUAGAUAUCACGCAGAACCCCGAUUGCGAAGGCAGCAUACCGGUGCACAACUGACGCUCAGGCACGAAAGCGUGGGUAUCGAACAGGAUUAGAUACCCCAGUAGUC
Molecule: ribosomal RNA, 458 nt
Filed under: uncultured bacterium
Lineage: Bacteria
Description: partial 16S ribosomal RNA
Rfam family: Bacterial small subunit ribosomal RNA
Source: RNAcentral